Non-coding RNA from Sphaeramia orbicularis (orbiculate cardinalfish), 470 nucleotides. The record is from the annotation of a RefSeq genome assembly. NCBI's taxonomy places the organism in Eukaryota, Metazoa, Chordata, Actinopteri, Kurtiformes, Apogonidae.
GUUCUUGGUCUGUCUCCUCCCCUCUCACUGCAGACAUGAAACACUGGCUGAGAAACAUCCUGAUUCUGACUCUCUGGAUAGAGUGUAAAGGAGAAGACAAAGUGACCCAGCCAACAGGAGAUGUCACUGCUGUUCAAGGACUCACACUGACUCUACAAUGUACAUUUGAGACCAGCAGCACUAAUGCAUAUCUGUACUGGUACAAACAGGAAGUGAAUGAUUAUCCCAGAUACAUGUUACAGAGAUUCAUAUCAGGAUCAGAAACAGUUAAAGCUCCCGAGUUCCAGAACGACAGAUUUGACGCCGAGAUCAACCAGACCUCAUUUCCUCUGAAGAUCCAGAAGCUUCAUGUGUCAGACUCUGCUGUGUACUACUGUGCUCUGCAGCUGUGUCCAUUCCGUCACCAGUUCCUGAACCUGUUGCAUGCGUUUUGUCGGAGUGGACUGACCACAUCAGUUCUGGAAGAGUAG